Molecule: long non-coding RNA, 783 nt
Filed under: Mus spicilegus (steppe mouse)
Lineage: Eukaryota; Metazoa; Chordata; Mammalia; Rodentia; Muridae
Description: lncRNA (ENSMSIG00000006958.1)
Source: RNAcentral
UGUGUUUUUCCACAGAGUGAAGACAACCCAUUUUGGCUGCCAGAACGACUCACCUGCAAGAUAUUCAUCAAGGAUGGUGUGGAAGAUGCUGACCUCCCAAGGACUGUUCCUGAUCUGAAUAUGUCUCAGGAAUAUGUUCCUGCUGAACUUGUCUCAGGGUUUCUUUGUGUAUUCCUGGCUGUCCUGGAACUGGUUUUGUAGACCAGGCUGGCCUUAAACUUAUAAAUGUCGGCAUGUCUCUGCUUUCUGAGGGCUGGAAUUAAAGGCAUGCACCACCACAUGAUGAACAAACUUUGUUCGAAAUAUAUUUUCAAGGUCCAGGGAACCAAAUCCCUCCUCUGCUAUGUGCUGACCCCAGCCACAUAUAUUGUGAAUAUAUCAUGUUGGAAAAACAAGCAAGAGCUACAGAGUGAGACCCUCAGGCUGUACCAAAUUUCAUCUGAAGUCAGUAGGUUAUGUCAAACCCUGAAGUUCCUGUGAAAAGUGCAGAUUCUGCCAAGGACCAGCCUCAGGUCAGUGAGUAUUUUCUGAGACAAGGAGUGUCUGAGAGCAGGAAAAAGAAACCAAAUCGUGGGUCUAAGCUUGCAGCCUGUGUUCUGCUGGAGGAAGCUUUCCAGCCGGCUUUCUCUCUGUUCUGCUUUUUUCUCCCCUCUGGCAGAUCUGAUUUCUCUGCAAAUCUCUAGACAGCUCUUGAGGUUUCCUUUUGAUUAUACUUUGAAUCAGCAUCCAAUAACCACAACCCCUUAAUUCUUAGGAAACAGGAAGAACAUAUUUUCUUUUAAC